CAGUCUGACCGAACGAUGGCCUCUUGACCUCAAGGUUGAGGGGAGGAAAGUCCGGACAGCAGAAGUGUAGAGGAUCCUGUGAAAGCAGGAGACCUGAACCGCAAGGAACAGGGACAGUUAGAGCAACAGAGACGAAUCUUGUCUGAAGGAGAUCUCCAGACAGGGGUGAAACGCCGAUGACGCACCAGAAAUGAUGCCGAGGCUCUGAGCCGUCAAACGCUCAGAGGGCAAUCCUCCUCGCUGCAACCAACGAACUUCACCAUAUUGCACACACUCGCUAACGGUGAUAAUGACGUGGGCACUAGAUAGAUCAUCGUGACUCAAACAGAAUCCGGCUUAUGAGUCAGACUGCAAA
RNAcentral lists this RNase P RNA (355 nucleotides) under Candidatus Pacebacteria bacterium CG_4_10_14_0_8_um_filter_43_12. RNAcentral describes it as "RNase P RNA component class A". It matches the Rfam family "Bacterial RNase P class A". From Rfam's summary of the family: Ribonuclease P (RNase P) is a ubiquitous endoribonuclease, found in archaea, bacteria and eukarya as well as chloroplasts and mitochondria. The record is from RNAcentral. Lineage: Bacteria; Bacillati; Minisyncoccota. RNAcentral also lists the same sequence under 1 other name.